RNAcentral lists this ribosomal RNA (464 nucleotides) under uncultured bacterium. RNAcentral's name for it is "partial 16S ribosomal RNA". It matches the Rfam family "Bacterial small subunit ribosomal RNA", at positions 28 to 507 of the family's 1533-position model. The record is from RNAcentral.
GACGAACGCUGGCGGCGUGCUUAACACAUGCAAGUCGAACGGAAAGGCCCCUUUGGGGGUACUCGAGUGGCGAACGGGUGAGUAACACGUGAGUAACCUGCCCUUGACUUCGGGAUAACUUCAGGAAACUGGGGCUAAUACCGGAUAGGAAUCCUUGCUGCAUGGUGGGGGUUGGAAAGCUUCGGCGGUUUUGGAUGGACUCGCGGCUUAUCAGCUUGUUGGUGGGGUAGUGGCUUACCAAGGCUUUGACGGGUAGCCGGCCUGAGAGGGCGACCGGCCACAUUGGGACUGAGAUACGGCCCAGACUCCUACGGGAGGCAGCAGUGGGGAAUAUUGCACGAUGGGCGGAAGCCUGAUGCAGCAACGCCGCGUGCGGGAUGACGGCCUUCGGGUUGUAAACCGCUUUCAGCAGGGGCGAAGCUUUUGUGACGGUACCUGCAGAAGAAGCACCGGCUAACUACGUG